GGGUCAGUAGGUUGGUCGUGCCACCGGUACGUACUGGUCUCACUGAUUCCUCCUUCCCGAAGAACCGUAAUGCCGUUAAUUUGGUGUUGCGGGGAAACAGGACUGUUACUUUGAAAAAAUUAGAGUGUUUAAAGCAAGCUAACGCUUGAAUACAUUAGCAUGGAAUAAUGAAAUAGGACGAUCGAUCCUAUUUUGUUGGUUUCUAGGAUUGACGUA
This 216-nucleotide ribosomal RNA is filed under the name Glomeromycotina sp. RNAcentral describes it as "partial small subunit ribosomal RNA". The stretch from base 76 to 216 matches the Rfam family "Eukaryotic small subunit ribosomal RNA", at positions 722 to 864 of the family's 1831-position model. Lineage: Eukaryota; Fungi; Glomeromycota. The record is from RNAcentral.